RNAcentral lists this long non-coding RNA (694 nucleotides) under Chinchilla lanigera (long-tailed chinchilla). RNAcentral's name for it is "lncRNA (ENSCLAG00000022283.1)". The record is from RNAcentral. Lineage: Eukaryota; Metazoa; Chordata; Mammalia; Rodentia; Chinchillidae.
UGUCCACAUGGUGUGCAUACAAUCUCAGGCAUGGACCAAAAUCUGCACAUAAGAAUCAACCCAAGCCGUCAGAAGUAAAGUUAAGGUCUGAUGGAACCUGAGUGGCAUGGCACCCAACAGGUAGCCCCAGUGUGCACAAGCCCCCACUCAAGAGGGACCUGAGCAAGGCUGGGGCCUGGCAAAAAGGAAGUGAGCAGAGAAAGCCAGAGGGAGUGGACAGUACUAAGAACAUCUGGGAGAGCCUAGGCACCUGGUGAAGAGGAGCAGCUCCUUGCGGGUAGGAAGGAGCACCUCCCACCCAGUGCCUCUAGGGAAGGGCCUCUCCAAGGGAUUUCUCAGACUUCCUACUCACCUCCACAAAAGCCCAAGAUCUUCACACCCACCUCUCCUCUCUACACCCAGAGCAGGAGCUGAUGAUCGAAGUGAGCAUCUGAAUUCUGGGGCCAGGGGGUUAAGGAUGAAGCCCAGUGUGACCUUCAAUGUGCACAAACCUCACACUAUCAGUCCCAACCCUUCUCCCAUGGGCAUGAUGCUACCUGCUCCUUCUGCUCCUGUCAACUUGGACAUGCCCUGGACCUGGUCUGACACCUGUGUUCAUGCUCCCUCGCCUACAAAGUUCUGCUCCCUCAGAUCUUUAUAGCCUACUGCCUCCCAUCCUAUGUCAGCAAAAUAAAGUUAAUCUUUCUCUCUUUCC